GAUGCACAUAGACGACGACUUUGGUUGAGGGCUCUGAAUCGGGAUGGAUUUAUACCCAGUGAACAUUCUUGUGUAUGUUCUGAACACUUUGUUUAUGGUUGGCAAAGUGAUGAUCCCUCGGAUGAGAAUUAUGUUCCCACCAUAUUCUCAUAUAAGGAGAAGCCCGUUGAUGCUGAGAGGCAGAACCGAGCAAGCAGAAGGAACAUUGAAAAGGAUUUUAGAGAAGCAGAAAGCAAGCAGAAGGAGCAAGAGAAAAGGCAGUUGAGUUUUUCUGUAUUCACCCACUCUUCCUACACCAGGAGCAGGGAGGAGGAAGCACAGGAUAUAUAGAGAAAGGAGAGUUGGAACCAGAUGAUGUGGACAUUGGGGUCAAACUUACAAGAGAUGCGGGUACACAGUGUGAUCCAGAUCCACUACUACAAGAGAAUUUCGCCUUGAAGUCUGAGCUUAGGAGGUUGCAAGGUCAUAAGUGGUCUGUUAAGAAGAUAAAAGAUUAUGAUGCCAAGACAAAGUUUUAUACUGGACUGCCUAGCUUUGCUGUUUUUAUGUGGU
Ostrea edulis (European flat oyster) is the source of this 552-nucleotide long non-coding RNA. RefSeq lists it as uncharacterized. Lineage: Eukaryota; Metazoa; Mollusca; Bivalvia; Ostreida; Ostreidae. The record is from RefSeq and is a predicted model, not a curated record. The transcript is spliced from 3 exons.